RNAcentral lists this ribosomal RNA (529 nucleotides) under Pichia manshurica. RNAcentral's name for it is "eukaryotic LSU rRNA". It matches the Rfam family "Eukaryotic large subunit ribosomal RNA", at positions 73 to 628 of the family's 3401-position model. The record is from RNAcentral. Lineage: Eukaryota; Fungi; Ascomycota; Pichiomycetes; Pichiales; Pichiaceae.
AUUGCCCCAGAUAGCGGCGAGUGAAGCGGCAAGAGCUCAGAUUUGAAAUCGUGUUUCGGCACGAGUUGUAGAGUGUAGGCGGGAGUCUCUGUGGAGCGCGGUGUCCAAGUCCCUUGGAACAGGGUGCCUGAGAGGGUGAGAGCCCCGUAGGGUGCUGCGCGAAGCUUUUGAGGCCCUGCUGACGAGUCGAGUUGUUUGGGAAUGCAGCUCCAAGCGGGUGGUAAAUUCCAUCUAAGGCUAAAUAUUGGCGAGAGACCGAUAGCGAACAAGUACUGUGAAGGAAAGAUGAAAAGCACUUUGAAAAGAGAGUGAAACAGCACGUGAAAUUGUUGAAAGGGAAGGGUAUUGGGCUCGACAUGGGGGGUGCGCACCGCUGUCUCUUGUAGGCGGCGCUCUGGGCGCCCUCUGGGCCAGCAUCGGUUCCUGCUGCGGGAGAAGGGGCUCCGGAAAGUGGCUCUUCGGAGUGUUAUAGCCGGGGCCAGAUGCCGCGUGUGGGGACCGAGGACUGCGGCUUCUGUCUCGGAUGCUG